UACGUAGGGGGCUAGCGUUGUCCGGAAUCAUUGGGCGUAAAGAGCGUGUAGGCGGCUCGGUAAGUCCGCUGUAAAAGUCAAAGGCUCAACCUUUGAAUGUCAGUGGAUACUGCCGGGCUAGAGUCCGGAAGAGGCGAGUGGAACUCCUGGUGUAGCGGUGGAAUGCGCAGAUAUCAGGAGGAACACCGGUGGCGAAGGCGGGUCUCUGGGCCGAUACUGACGCUGAGGAGCGAAAGCGUGGGGAGCGAACAGG
This 253-nucleotide ribosomal RNA is filed under the name uncultured bacterium. Its description in RNAcentral is "partial 16S ribosomal RNA". It matches the Rfam family "Bacterial small subunit ribosomal RNA", at positions 524 to 776 of the family's 1533-position model. The record is from RNAcentral.